AGUACGUAGCACCCUUUACUUGUCCUUGAGUGCUUCGAAGAUUAUGCAAAAUUUUGUCUUCAAAUUAGGGUUCGCAGAGAUUUUCACCCAAGUGAUUGAGUAUCGGAAUUCCUUCCUGCAAAUCGCGAGACGGUACGAGAUCUUGUUGUUUAAUUCGAAGGUGUAAUAUGAUGGCCGAUUGUGGUGCUGAAAGAGAAAGGAAAGUUACGAUACGCAACAACCAUGGCGAAAAUCUCGUGGGGAUCUUACAUAACGCGGCUUCAAUUUCGCUUGUUAUCGUGUGCCAUGGCUUCCAAUCUUCCAAGGAAAGGAUUCCCAUGGUGAACCUUGCUGCUGCUCUAGGAAAAGAUGGAUUCAGUGCUUUCCGCUUUGACUUUGCAGGAAAUGGGGAAAGUGAAGGUUCAUUUCAGUAUGGUAACUACUACAGAGAGGCUGAAGAUCUGCGAGCUGUAGUUCAACACUUCUGUGAGCAGAAAUAUGCAAUUAAAGCAAUUGUUGGUCACAGUAAAGGGGGUAAUGUGGUGCUCUUAUAUGCCUCAAAAUAUAAGGAUAUUCAUAUUGUAGUCAAUAUAUCUGGCCGGUUCAAUCUAGCGAGAGGCAUGGAAGGUCGUUUGGGCAAAAAAUUUAUACAAAGGAUCAAACAAGAUGGAUAUAUAGAUGUUAAGAAUAAAAGAGGGAAGAUUAUGUACCGUGUUACUGAAGAAAGUUUGAUGGACCGCCUAUCUACUAUAACCCAUCUUGCCUGCUUAUUGAUUCCCCAAGAUUGCAGUGUGUUGACAAUUCAUGGAUCCAUGGAUGAAAUUGUACCUGCAGAAGAUGCUUUAGAGUUCGCUAAGUUCAUAUCUAAUCAUGAAUUGUGCUUCAUAGAAGGAGCUGAUCAUGAAUAUACUUAUCAUCAAGAUGAGUUGACCAGCUUAGUUUUGGAAUUCAUCAAGAUUCAUAUUGACAAAGACAAAGAUACAUCGAAGCAGGCACGAUUUGGAAGAGUACAUAAACCUAUUCAUUCCCGGUUGUAGUUUGUGCAAAUAUGUGUAGAUCCAGUAUUUCUUUUGAAACCAUCUUUCUUACAAAUAAAGACACAGCCUUCAUAAAUAGAUCACCAAGAAAAGAUGGACGAACCUCAUCCCAUUUCUAACAUUCCAAGUGCCCACCUGAGAGCCGAUAAUUAGCAUUUGCAAGAGUUAAAAGAAUAUUGACAAUGCUAAGUUUCUCACAAUUAAACCUCAAUAGUACCCAUCUGACAAGUAUUGUUGCAUCAUCAUAGCCACCGCCAAAAGAAUAUUGACAAUGCUAAGUUUCUCACAAUUAAACUUCAAUGGUACCCAUCUGACAAGUAUUGUUGCAUCAUCAUAGCCACAUGCCGGGUUGUCAAUCUGAAUUUAAACUCUUAUGACUACUGUUAAAAGUUUAUGCUCUUGCAGUUACUACAGAUGAGUGAUGAAAUGAAUAAUUGGACAUAACAAGCAUGAACCUGGCUCAUCUGGUGGAUAUGAUAUAUGAAGCACUGCUGAUUGAAUGUUGGUUAUCACAGAUUUCAGACUAUACAGACUGCCGUGUAAAAAUUUACUUAUGGCCAUAACAUUAUGUCCAUUUCCUCUAUGUCCACCAUAAUUCUUUCCUUUUCAUUACCUCUAUAUUCUUUUGGGAUAAACAUGAACUCAACUCAAUAUCAUAUUUCAGAAUUUUGUUCAGAAAAGACUAUAAAAGUGCAACUAUGGUCUAGGUUCAAACUUGCUUCUCGUAUGCUUCUUCUGCCUCCAAAUAAAAUAUAGAAUAUGAAUGGAUGGGGAUAGAAGAGAGGAAGCAAGGGAAUGGGAUGGAAGCUCAUUCCCACUAUUAGGAAAGAGACUAGGAAAUGGACGGGGGGACACUCGCUAUCCACUUUGGGGAGUUUGGUCUGUGGUCACCAAAAGAUAUAAGCUUCUGUACUUUGAUCUAAUAAUAAAUACAUCAAAACUUUCAUUCAAUGUUCAUUUUUUA
This is an RNA transcript of Glycine soja, 1980 nucleotides long. RefSeq lists it as uncharacterized. The transcript has 7 exons. The record is from RefSeq and is a predicted model, not a curated record. NCBI's taxonomy places the organism in Eukaryota, Viridiplantae, Streptophyta, Magnoliopsida, Fabales, Fabaceae.